RNAcentral lists this transfer RNA (69 nucleotides) under Ictidomys tridecemlineatus (thirteen-lined ground squirrel). RNAcentral's name for it is "Spermophilus tridecemlineatus (thirteen-lined ground squirrel) tRNA". It matches the Rfam family "tRNA". From Rfam's summary of the family: Transfer RNA (tRNA) molecules are approximately 80 nucleotides in length. Their secondary structure includes four short double-helical elements and three loops (D, anti-codon, and T loops). Lineage: Eukaryota; Metazoa; Chordata; Mammalia; Rodentia; Sciuridae. The record is from Rfam by way of RNAcentral.
AGAGUUGUGGCUCAGUGGUAGAGCACUCGCCUGGCAUGUGAGAAGCACAGGGUUUGAUUCUCAGCACUG